CUUGAACUUACGACCUUCAAGCCCCGUUCACAAGACCCAUUCACUGACCCUGAGCUUGGAUGAAAGCACCAGCCAUGCAGGUGGGAGAGGUCCUUCAA
Long non-coding RNA from Bos indicus x Bos taurus (hybrid cattle), 98 nucleotides. Lineage: Eukaryota; Metazoa; Chordata; Mammalia; Artiodactyla; Bovidae. The record is from Ensembl.